RNAcentral lists this ribosomal RNA (352 nucleotides) under Clostridioides difficile. RNAcentral's name for it is "bacterial SSU rRNA". It matches the Rfam family "Bacterial small subunit ribosomal RNA", at positions 1 to 360 of the family's 1533-position model. Lineage: Bacteria; Bacillati; Bacillota; Clostridia; Peptostreptococcales; Peptostreptococcaceae. The record is from RNAcentral.
UUUUAUUUGAGAGUUUGAUCCUGGCUCAGGAUGAACGCUGGCGGCGUGCCUAACACAUGCAAGUUGAGCGAUUUACUUCGGUAAAGAGCGGCGGACGGGUGAGUAACGCGUGGGUAACCUACCCUGUACACACGGAUAACAUACCGAAAGGUAUGCUAAUACGGGAUAAUAUAUUUGAGAGGCAUCUCUUAAAUAUCAAAGGUGAGCCAGUACAGGAUGGACCCGCGUCUGAUUAGCUAGUUGGUAAGGUAACGGCUUACCAAGGCGACGAUCAGUAGCCGACCUGAGAGGGUGAUCGGCCACAUUGGAACUGAGACACGGUCCAAACUCCUACGGGAGGCAGCAGUGGGGA